CGGCGCUUGAGGCUUUCUGCCUCAUGACGUGAAGGUGGUUUGUUAUCCUGUUGUGUGGCAGAAGGACAAAAGCCCCGUAGUUAAUUUUCAUUAACCCACGAGGCCUCUGCAUGUCUAGUCCACGUCAGUAUGCCCUCUUACCGUGCAAAUUGCAAGGAGGAGUAAACCAUG
RNAcentral lists this antisense RNA (171 nucleotides) under Shigella dysenteriae 1012. Its description in RNAcentral is "sok antitoxin (CssrC)". It matches the Rfam family "sok antitoxin (CssrC)". Rfam says of the family: Also identified in Shigella as CssrC. Lineage: Bacteria; Pseudomonadati; Pseudomonadota; Gammaproteobacteria; Enterobacterales; Enterobacteriaceae. The record is from Rfam by way of RNAcentral.